GAAACACCCCGUUUCUCGCUGAUUUCACUGUUUUCAGGUGAGUUAAGUCCAUAAAAUCACACAAAUAUUACUUAUAAUUUGACUCGCUUCUGUUGUUUAUUUACUUUAUAGGAAUGGUUUAAUGUCUUCGAAGAAGUCCGUUAGCGUUUCUACCGUUUUCAGACGACGUAUCGUCAGAAGGGAGUUUCCAAGAUUUCAAUAUUUCUGAAGGGAGCUGCUGACAGAGAUGUAGGAAGCACUGAAAAGAUUCUCCAGUGCUGAUGGCCUGCUGCAUCCAGCAGAGUCGGAGUGAACCUACUGUAAGACAACAUCUCCAAGAUGCUAUUGACCACAAGACUAGUACAGUAAGUCAAACCUCAAAUAUACAGUACACUAGUGUUCAAAAGCUUGAAGUUGAUACAAUUUGUAAUAAUUAUCUUCUGCUCACCUCUGUAGUAAUUAUUUGAUUAAAAUAUGUAAAAAGAUUAAUAUUGUGAAAUAUUAUUACAAUUUAAAAUAGCUGUUUUCUAUGUGAAUACAUUAUAAACUAAUUUAUUCCUGUGAUGUGCAGCUGUAUUUUCAGCAUCAUUCCUCCAGUCUUCAGUGUCACAUGGAUCCCUCAGAAAUGCUGAUUUGCUGCUCAAGAAACUUAUUAUCAGCGUUGAAACAGUUGUGCUGCUUCCAUUUUUUUGUAGAAACCGUGAUGCAUUUUAUUUUUCAGGAUUCACAGAUGAAUACAAAGUUCAAAAGACCUGCAUUUAUUUAUGCAGACGCUUUUAUCCAAAGCGACUUACAGCGCAUUCAGGCUAUCAAUUUUUACAUAUCAUGUGUUCCCGGGGAAUCAAACCCCCAACCUUGCGCUUGCUUGCUUGCUAGCACAGUGCUCUACCAGUUGAGCUACAGGAACACUAUUUGAAACAGAUGAUUUUGAACAAUUUGAUGCAUGUAACACUAACAUUAAAAUGUUUAGAGUCUAUGUAACAAUGAAUCCAACAACAAAAAAAUUCAGCACAUCUGUAUUUUAACAUUGAUCAUAAUCAGAAAUGUUUCUUGAGCAGUAAAUCAUCAUAUUAGAAUGAUUUCUGAAGAUUUGUCACUGAAGACUGGAGUAAUGAUGCUGAAAAUUCAGCUUUGAUCAAAGGAAUAAAUGACAUUUUAACAUAAUAUUCACAUAGAAAAGAGUUGUUUUGAAUUCUAAU
Molecule: long non-coding RNA, 1178 nt
Organism: Carassius gibelio (silver crucian carp)
Lineage: Eukaryota; Metazoa; Chordata; Actinopteri; Cypriniformes; Cyprinidae
Exons: 3
Source: RefSeq, a predicted model, not a curated record